RNAcentral lists this small RNA (118 nucleotides) under Marmota monax (woodchuck). Lineage: Eukaryota; Metazoa; Chordata; Mammalia; Rodentia; Sciuridae. The record is from RNAcentral.
GCUGGGUGUGGUGGUGCAUGCCUGAAAUCACAGCAGUUUGGGAGGCUGAGGCAGGGGGAUCCAGAUCAAAGCCAGCCUCAGCAUAAAUGAAUAGCUACUCAGUGAGACCCUGUCUCUA